GCACUGCUGAUGAGUCCCAAACAGGACGAAACGGCUGUCGCGUGC
This 45-nucleotide non-coding RNA is filed under the name Echinostoma caproni. Lineage: Eukaryota; Metazoa; Platyhelminthes; Trematoda; Plagiorchiida; Echinostomatidae. The record is from RNAcentral.